CGGAGGGUGCAAGCGUUAUCCGGAUUUACUGGGUUUAAAGGGUGUGUAGGCGGGCUGUUAAGUCAGUGGUGAAAUCUCCGGGCUCAACCCGGAAACUGCCAUUGAUACUAAUGGUCUUGAAUCCUGUUGAGGUGGGCGGAAUAUGUCAUGUAGCGGUGAAAUGCAUAGAUAUGACAUAGAACACCGAUUGCGAAGGCAGCUCACUAAGCAGGCAUUGACGCUGAGGCACGAAAGCGUGGGGGAUCAAACAGGAUUAGAUACCCUGGUAGUCCACGCCCUAAACGAUGAUUACUGGACGUGACGUCGAUAUUACGGUGCGCGUCUGAGCGAAAGCAUUAAGUAAUCCACCUGGGAAGUACGUCCGGCAAGGAUGG
This 374-nucleotide ribosomal RNA is filed under the name uncultured organism. RNAcentral describes it as "bacterial SSU rRNA". It matches the Rfam family "Bacterial small subunit ribosomal RNA", at positions 526 to 897 of the family's 1533-position model. The record is from RNAcentral.